Mus musculus (house mouse) is the source of this 1634-nucleotide RNA transcript. It is a transcript of the gene named renalase, FAD-dependent amine oxidase, transcript variant 1, non-coding, with no coding region annotated. Lineage: Eukaryota; Metazoa; Chordata; Mammalia; Rodentia; Muridae. The transcript has 7 exons. The record is from RefSeq and is marked validated.
AGGGGACGAUGGGAUUGGGGCUCACCGGGUAACCAAGCUGCCCGGUGGAGGCCUGGGCAGAAAGUCGCCGGGGCCUCAGUCACCCCUGUGGGUUCUCCGCGCUCUCAGGAGCAGACGUCUCGCGCAGGGCACCGCCCUGCCUGACCCACGCGGGGACACAGUGGUAGAGUGGGACGGCGAGGCUCCGCGUCUCUGUCAGCGGCCUAGCCGAAGGGCAGCCGCCAUGUCCCGGGUACUGGUCGUGGGCGCUGGGCUAACCGGAAGUCUGUGUGCCGCGCUGCUGAGGAAGGAAAUAACCGCCCCCCUGUACCUCGGCCUGUGAGACAAGGGUGGGGAUAUAGGGGGAAGAAUGAUUACUGCCAGCAGUCCUCAUAAUCCCCGAUGCACAGCUGACUUGGGAGCUCAGUACAUCACCUGCUCUCCUCAUUAUGUCAAAGAGCACCAAAAUUUUUAUGAGGAACUGUUAGCUCAUGGAAUUUUGAAGCCUCUGACAUCCCCCAUUGAAGGAAUGAAAGGGAAGGAAGGAGAUUGCAACUUUGUGGCACCUCAAGGAUUUUCUUCAGUUAUCAAGUACUACUUGAAAAAGUCAGGUGCAGAAGUCUCCCUCAAGCACUGUGUGACUCAGAUCCACCUGAAAGAUAACAAGUGGGAAGUCUCCACAGACACUGGCUCUGCUGAGCAGUUUGACCUUGUCAUCCUCACCAUGCCAGCUCCUCAGAUUCUGGAACUUCAAGGUGACAUUGUGAACUUAAUUAGUGAACGCCAGAGGGAGCAACUGAAAUCUGUGAGCUACUCCUCUCGCUAUGCUCUGGGCCUCUUUUAUGAAGUAGGCAUGAAGAUUGGUGUCCCUUGGUCCUGCCGCUACCUCAGCAGUCACCCCUGCAUAUGCUUCAUCUCCAUUGAUAAUAAGAAGCGCAAUAUAGAGUCAUCAGAAUGUGGUCCAUCCGUGGUGAUCCAAACCACUGUCCCAUUUGGAGUUCAACACUUGGAGGCCAGUGAGGCGGAUGUGCAGAAGUUAAUGAUCCAGCAAUUGGAAACCAUUCUGCCGGGUUUGCCUCAGCCAGUUGCUACCAUAUGCCAUAAAUGGACAUAUUCACAGGUUACAAGCUCAGUUUCCGACAGACCUGGUCAGAUGACUCUUCAUCUCAAGCCUUUCCUGGUGUGCGGAGGGGAUGGAUUUACUCACUCCAACUUCAAUGGCUGCAUCUCCUCUGCCCUGAGUGUCAUGAAAGUUUUAAAGCGUUAUAUUUAGUGUCUGUGUUCUUGUUCUCUACAUUUACUUUAGGAUUUUUGUUUUCACAAUCCUCUGUUAUUAAUUGUUCUAUUUUCCUUUCUGUGAAGAGAAAUUACUUUGGAAAAUGUCUUCACUUACUGUUAUUUUUAAUAUGAAAUAUAAAAACAAUGUUAUAAUUUUGAUAGCUACCACCCAUAGUAAAGUGAUAACUUCUUAGGCUAUAUUUCUUCCUCACUUUUCUGACUUUAUUACUAAUCCUUAUUGGAGAAAAAUGGUGCUUCUAAGUCACAAAUAACCCAAGCCCAGAAUUAUACUAAACCAAAGUUCUCAUUCAUGGAAAAUCUUUAUUAUCCUUUUGAAAACUUCAGUUCUAAAUAAAUAACAGUUACUACCAAAUGUC